UUCCGGUUGAUCCUGCCGGAGGCUACCGCUAUUGGAGUUCGAUUAAGCCAUGCGAGUCGCGAGUCUUAGGGACUCGGCGUACCGCUCAGUAACACGUGGGUAACCUGCCCUAUGCUGGGGAAUAACCUCGGGAAACUGAGAAUAAUGCCCCAUAGUUCACUACGCCUGGAACGGUGAGUGGAUGAAAGCUCCGGCGGCAUAGGAUGGGCCUGCGGCGUAUCAGGUUGUAGGGGGUGUAAUGUACCCUCUAGCCAUCUACGCGUACGGGUGUUGGGAGACAUCGCCCGGAGAUGGAUUCUGAGACACGAAUCCAGACCCUACGGGGUGCAGCAGGCGCGAAAACUUGGCAAUGCGAGCAAUCGUGACCAGGGAACUCCAAGUGCAUCGGGUAAGACCGAUGCUUUUCUUGACUCUUCAAAGGUCUUGGAAUAAGGGGUGGGUAAGGACGGUGCCAGCCGCCGCGGUAAUACCGGCGCCUCAAGUGGUAGUCGCUUUUAUUGGGCCUAAAACGUCCGUAGCCGGUUUGGUACAUUCGUGGGUAAAUCAAGGCGCUCAACGUCUUGAAUUCUGCGAGCACGGCCAGACUUGGGACCGGGUGAGGUGUGGGGUACUCUCAGGGUAGGGGUAAAAUCCUGUCAUCCUGAGAGGACCACCUGUUGCGAAGGCGCCACACUAGAACGGAUCCGACGGUCAGGGACGAAGCCUAGGGGCACGAACCGGAUUAGAUACCCGGGUAGUCCUAGGUGUAAACGCUGUGGACUUGAUGUUGGGAGUGCUCCGAGCACCCUCAGUGUCGAAGCGAAGGUGAUAAGUCCACUGCCUGGGGAGUACGGUCGCAAGGCUGAAACUUAAAGGAAUUGGCGGGGGAGCACUGCAACCUGAGGAUUGUGCGGUUUAAUUGGAUUCAACGCCGG
This 914-nucleotide ribosomal RNA is filed under the name uncultured marine archaeon. RNAcentral's name for it is "bacterial SSU rRNA". It matches the Rfam family "Archaeal small subunit ribosomal RNA", at positions 1 to 921 of the family's 1478-position model. The record is from RNAcentral.